CAAAUUUGUUCCCUGUUGCUCACCUCAGCUCGUUGCUCCAUCUGGCGCUACAAUCGAUGGCUCAUGCUCCUCCUACCAAGUUGCAUGUUUGAGAGCUAUGUGCCACGUUGAUCGAUAUGAUUGGCAGUGUGGUAUGAUUUCACUAAUGUAUGUUAUCCUGCUACAUUAUGAGUUUUUUUGUGUUCAAAUUGAGAAAUAAGAUAAAGACUUUUGUUCUUUAAAUUUUUCCUGAUCUUUUGAUUCACCAACUAAUAUAAUUAUUACAAAUUUAUAGUUAAGCUAAACUGAUUUGAAACAAUUGGCAACUGGACGUAUACUUAUUGAUGGCUUGUUUUGUAUCCGAUGACUGGUUUUGUGUUCUUUUGGAGAUAAUGGUUAAUCUAGAAUUUAAAUUUAAAAGAAAGGGUAUUUUUCCCCAAUUAAUUAUGUUCCCCUCUUUGCUUUUACUAUUUGUAGCCCUUCUAUUUGGCUUUCAUAUUUACUUACUUUUUCCAACAUUGCAGCUCUAGCUGUCACUUCAAUUAUUAUAUGGAUGCAUGUGGAAUUGUCUUGUGUAAUUUUUCAUGGGUUAAAACAAGAUUUGCAAGUGUCUCCUUAAUUCCCUUUUUCCUAACCUUCAAUUUUUGAGUUAUUCAUUGUUUUUUUUUAACAUGGUGACUAAGCUUAUUGUCUUUUUUGCAUGUACUUAUCUAACUUAUGCUUUGUUUACUCUAUUGGAUAGGGUGGAAGACUUGAUUUCACUAUUGUUUGGUUGUUUAUUGUCUAUUAAAUUUUGCUUUUGUAUAAAUUUCAGAUUUAAUGCCCCUAUCUUUCUUUUUUAUUUUUCAACAACCAAAUAAUGCAAUGAAUUUGAACCAAGGCACGGUCAAUCACCCGCAACUCACAUAGGUUAGUUCA
Rhododendron vialii is the source of this 897-nucleotide long non-coding RNA. RefSeq lists it as uncharacterized. Lineage: Eukaryota; Viridiplantae; Streptophyta; Magnoliopsida; Ericales; Ericaceae. The record is from RefSeq and is a predicted model, not a curated record. The transcript is spliced from 2 exons.